GUCGCUACUACAUCGAGUCCUUGGCUCGAGCGUCCCGAUCGGAUCGGGAAGGUCGGUAGUUCAACUCUACCCAGGCCCACCA
This 82-nucleotide transfer RNA is filed under the name Terriglobia bacterium. Its description in RNAcentral is "tRNA-Pro". Lineage: Bacteria; Pseudomonadati; Acidobacteriota; Terriglobia. The record is from RNAcentral.